Molecule: unclassified non-coding RNA, 3773 nt
Filed under: Leishmania donovani
Lineage: Eukaryota; Euglenozoa; Kinetoplastea; Trypanosomatida; Trypanosomatidae
Description: gene:LdHU3.03.0370(CDS-product:GPR1/FUN34/yaaH_fa mily_putative)
Source: RNAcentral
CGCUCACACUCGCUCACUCUCUCUCUCUGUUCAGUUCCGUUUAUCAACCGCAACGCUUCCAGCUCUCGCGCCCCUCCCUCGCCUGCAAGCACACACGUGCAUCCGCCUCUCCUUUCGAUUUUUUUUUCAGGGUCACCAAGCACGUCCACACAGCCGCGCCAUGUCCACUGGGCACAUAGAAGGUCCUGAGAACUCUCUGCAGCCGCUGAUGAAGGGCCCGCGGGCUCCGAGCGACGAUGAGCGUCCCCAUCGCGUAUUCAAAAGCACCGAUGGCAUCGCAGCCAAUAUGAAUGAAGACCUCCGCGCUCGACGCAGCCGCGCCAGCUACGACUACCUUGUCGGAGCCAGCGACGGCCGGAGUCCGGGCAACGCCUGCAACAACUUCGUCUACCACUCCAACCGGAAGCCGACGGGGGGCAGGAGCUUGGAAUACCUUGACGGGGACCAGAACCGCACCUCGAAUGUGACUCACAACCUUGGCGACCAUCAUGACGACCCGCAUUGCUUCGACUCCGACAGCGAUAGCGGCGAUUGCCUCCUCGAUCACCAGAUCCGAAUGCUGGAAGCGAAGAAAGCGGCUGCGAGCUCGCGCAAGUGCGCGAACCCGGGCCCGGUCGGCCUGCUCGGCUUUGGCCUCUCGACGAUCCUGCUGAACCUGCACAACACCGGGAGCUUUCCGCUGUCGACGGUGAUCGUCGCCAUGGGCAUCUGCCUCGGCGGAGGUGCGCAGUUUAUCGCGGGUCUGCUCGAGUGGGUGCGCGGUAACACCUUCGCGUACGUCGCCUUCACCUCGUACGGCGCCUUCUGGCUGUCCCUCGUGUGCGUCUGGAUGCUGCCCAACACGGCCGCCGGCACCUCCAAGCUCGUGGAUCCAGCGAGCGAGUACUUCGUAGGCGUGUACCUCUUCUUGUGGGGCAUCUUCUCCUUCGUCAUGCUUCUGUGCACCAUCCGCAUGAACCUCGCCAUCUUUCUCGUGUUUCUCACCGUGACGCUGCUCUUCCUGAUGCUCGGCUGCAGCAGCAUGGCGAGCAGCGCCGUGGGGCUGCGUGCGGCCGGCUACGAGGGCAUCAUCUGCGGCUCCCUCGCCCUCUACCUCGCCUUUGCCGAGAUUCUGAACGAGAUGUGGGACCGCACAAUCCUGCCGGUGAUCCCGAUGACGCAGGUGCUCGGCUGGAUCGGCGCCUUAAAGGGCUACAAGGCAGCACAGCUGGAUAAGAGGAAUAGGUCAACGCGCAACGUGUCUCAGCAGUCGGGAAGGGGAGUGAGGAGGUAACAACGGACAUGUGCACACACGGGAGGAGAGGAGGGGGUGGGCUCGGGCAGAAGUGUUGUGCCUCUGCCGCUUUCCCUCUCGCUCUCUCCCGCACCCCCUCCAACCCCCUCUUUCUCCGGUGUUCGUGCGUGCGGCGCGGUCUGGAGUCGGAGGAGGCUCGGUUCGAGUUUGGGGUUCGGGGCAUGCGCGCGCGGGGCGAGGGGGUGAUGUUAUCGGUAUAUCGGCGUCAGCCCCGCCCAUCCAGCGGCGCCGCCCUAGUGUCGGGUGUGUGUUCGUGGUGCUGUGCUGUGAUGGUGCUUGAUACAGCUGAGGAUGCAGACGGGCCUCUUUCGACUGUCGGCUUCCUUUUUUUCCGUUCUUCGGCUUUGUUCCCCCCCUGCACGCCCUCGCGCACGCGGAUCCUUCCCGAUCAUCAUACGCUACCCUCCCCCCCCCCUUCUCACGUCCAUCGGCAGGCUUUUGGUGCUGCUUGCUCUUCCUCUUCUCGGGCUUCCGGUUUUGUGGUGGUCGCCAUUUUCUGAGGAGUCACUCUCUCUCUCUGAUGUAGUCCUCCGUUGCACAUGUGAAGAGUGAUGCGCCCUGUGAUAGGGGGGAUGCUGUGAGAAGAGCACAGCAGAAGACUUGGAGAAGGCCUGGAUAGCUGGGGGCUGGACGGGAAUACGCCACAAGAGUGGCAUCUCCCCGUCCACCUUCCUAGCCUUUCCUGGGGAUGGUGUGCUGCUGCGGCGGCCCUCCGUUUUAUGUCUUGUCGUUCCACUUGACACGAUGCUGCCAUUCCUUUGGGGUUAUUCCCUUUCUUCAUCUGCCCGCAUGGUUAUCGUUGUCGUUGUUGCUCCAUUUGGACUGUCACCAUGCUCAUCCCACCAUCGGCACCCUUGACAUCCUUCUCCAUCUUCUGCUGCCCUAACUCCUCUCCCCUCCCCCCUCUCUUUCCAUGCUUACGUGAGCCUUCUGUGUGCGUGUGUGUGUGUGUCUUUUUUUUUUCUUUUCUCUCUGCAAGCGAUCACACACACACGCACGCGCACAGCACGGCAGCCGCGGUUUCGUCUUUAGUUUGAGUUGCUUCCCUCGUGUGGGUGCGUGUGUUCGCUCUUCUUUACUUUUCCUUUUUUCAUUUUGCCCUCCUGCGAGGCCCUCACAUCCCCCCCUUCUCCUCUGUCUGUCUCUGCCCCCGAUGUGGUGGCGCUCACGUGCGUGCGGAGAAAGUGUCUCACACGCAAGUCGCUCGAGCACGCGCCUAUCCGCACGCCCUCCCUCUCUCCCAAAUCACCCCCCCCUUCCUUCACCACAGUUGCGCGUACUCGAAGUGUCGCCUUUCUCCGUCCGUGUUUACGUGUGCGCGUGUGCGUCUGUGAUGUGGGCCUAUGCACAUGCUCGUGUGUGAGGUCGUCGUGGCUGCGUUUCCCCGGUAUAGUGUCUCUCCUCCCCCCUUCCUUCUCCUCCCCCUCCCCCACACACGCACACACGCAGGCAUGUACGCGUGUUUUUGUUGUUCUCUCCCUGCAACCGCUUUCUUGCAUUCAAAACGACGUGCCCUGUGGCCCUCUGUCUUCCCAGUACACACACACACAUGUCUAUCUAUAUAUCUGUCCCUCCCUCCCCUUGUCUGUCUCAGGGCGGGUGGGCAAGUGCCUCUCCUUUCGCAUCGCCCUCGUCAGAUGCUCGUCUCUUUCUUGUUGGUGCUGCGGCGGCUCUCAUCUACCUUCCUCUGCUCCUCUCUGUCAAGCGCCGACAAGACAUGGUGUGCCCAUGUGCGACGCCACGACGGCGAUGGUGAACCCGCGCACGCCCACACACACGCACGCACGCACGCGCGCACGUCUCUGGCCCCUUCUUUGCCGUUUGCGCCCGGAGAGGAUGCAUGAGGGGAGAGGGAGGAGGGAGGAGGGAGGGUCCACCGAUGUGCGUGUGUACGCGCCCGCUCCCUCUCCCUCUUUCGCCUCGCAUCGUUCUCUGGCGCGCCUCUGCCUUUCGUUUGUUCGUGGUGGAGCUCGUUGUUGUUUUCUUUUUUUUUCCGCCCUCCUCACUCUCCUCACUCUGCCGGUCUCAACGUCGUUGGGAAAAGCGAACCCGCCCACCCAGACCCACAUACACACACCGAACUAACCAGCUCCCCUCUCCCCUUCCAAGCCCUCGCACAUGUUGUGGGCUCAUCCUCACCUCGUAUUGGCGCCUUCCUCUGUGUGUGUGUGUGAGAGAGAGACGCGCGUCACACAGAAGAAGAGAUUUGCAGAAAUGGAAAACUGAUUUGCGGGCGCAUCUCUUCUUGUUGAUCUGCUGUAGUGGCGGUGGUGGCAGCGGCUGCCUUCGUCCUUUUCUUGUUCUUCAUGGCGACUGCACGUGUGGACUGCUCCCUGAGCACAGGUCGAUCUUCCCUUGCUUACCAUGCUUGUGUGUCUAUGAUUCUCCCCUCCCCACCCUCUCUCUCCGUUUCCCUUGUUCACUUUUUUUUGCUUUUUGCGGCCUCGCGCAUCCGUGAUGGCACUGAUAUCAAGCGUCU